AAUCCUCAAAACCUUUGUCCUUUGAUUAAGGAAAAGGGUUUUGGACUUGGAGGAUCAAUGCUCGCCCUUACUUUUCAAAGGCGAGCUCCUCUCAAAUGAAUUAGUGGGGUUUGCUUUGCUGAUCCUUGACGGUGAUAAGACAUCUCUACGUUUUGGAUUUGGCGACUGUCCCUCGCUUCUAACAGUCCUAUGGACGACGAUGGGUGCACCGGUCACCACCUUACAUCGGUGGGAGGCUGGACCCACAAAAAGGA
RNAcentral lists this unclassified non-coding RNA (254 nucleotides) under uncultured Russula. RNAcentral's name for it is "sequence contains ITS2". Lineage: Eukaryota; Fungi; Basidiomycota; Agaricomycetes; Russulales; Russulaceae. The record is from RNAcentral.